Molecule: ribosomal RNA, 358 nt
Filed under: uncultured bacterium
Lineage: Bacteria
Description: bacterial SSU rRNA
Rfam family: Bacterial small subunit ribosomal RNA
Source: RNAcentral
GAUGAACGCUGGCGGCGUGCCUAAUACAUGCAAGUCGAACGAAAUUAUUUUAAUAGAAGAUUACUUGUAAUUGGAAGUUAAAUUAAUUUAGUGGCGAACGGGUGAGUAAUACAUAAGUAAUCUGCCCUUAAGGACCGGGAUAACUGUUGGAAACGAUGGCUAAUACCGGAUAAGUAAUUGGAAGGCAUCUUCUAAUUAUUAAAGUUUAAAUACACACAAGGAUGAGCUUAUGGUGCAUUAGCUAGUUGGUGGGUAACGGCCGUACCAAGGCUGUGAUGCAUAGCCGACCUGAGAGGGUGAUCGGCCACACUGGGACUGAGACACGGCCCAGACUCCUACGGGAGGCAGCAGUAGGGAA